RNAcentral lists this ribosomal RNA (483 nucleotides) under Peptostreptococcaceae bacterium canine oral taxon 124. RNAcentral's name for it is "bacterial SSU rRNA". It matches the Rfam family "Bacterial small subunit ribosomal RNA", at positions 9 to 494 of the family's 1533-position model. Lineage: Bacteria; Bacillati; Bacillota; Clostridia; Peptostreptococcales; Peptostreptococcaceae. The record is from RNAcentral.
GAGUUUGAUUCUGGCUCAGGAUGAACGCUGGCGGCGUGCCUAACACAUGCAAGUCGAGCGGGAAAUUUCGGAAUGAAACUUCGGUAGAAUGAAGAAAUGGAGAGCGGCGGACGGGUGAGUAACGCGUAGGCAACCUGCCCCGUACAGAGGGAUAGCCUCGGGAAACCGGGAUUAAAACCUCAUAACGCAUUCAGCCCGCAUGGGAAGGAUGCCAAAGAUUUAUCGGUAUGGGAUGGGCCUGCGUCUGAUUAGUUAGUUGGUGAGGUAACGGCUCACCAAGGCGACGAUCAGUAGCCGACCUGAGAGGGUAAUCGGCCACAUUGGAACUGAGACACGGUCCAAACUCCUACGGGAGGCAGCAGUGGGGAAUAUUGCACAAUGGGCGAAAGCCUGAUGCAGCAACGCCGNAAUGAGCGAAGAAGGCCUUUGGGUCGUAAAGACUCUGUCCUAUGGGAAGAAGAAAGUGACCGUACCNAGAGCGCC